This 500-nucleotide ribosomal RNA is filed under the name uncultured bacterium. RNAcentral's name for it is "partial 16S ribosomal RNA". It matches the Rfam family "Bacterial small subunit ribosomal RNA", at positions 30 to 523 of the family's 1533-position model. The record is from RNAcentral.
AUUGAACGCUGGCGGCAGGCCUAACACAUGCAAGUCGAGCGGAUGACGGGAGCUUGCUCCUUGAUUCAGCGGCGGACGGGUGAGUAAUGCCUAGGAAUCUGCCUGGUAGUGGGGGACAACGUUUCGAAAGGAACGCUAAUACCGCAUACGUCCUACGGGAGAAAGCAGGGGACCAUCGGGCCUUGCGCUAUCAGAUGAGCCUAGGUCGGAUUAGCUAGUUGGUGAGGUAAUGGCUCACCAAGGCGACGAUCCGUAACUGGUCUGAGAGGAUGAUCAGUCACACUGGAACUGAGACACGGUCCAGACUCCUACGGGAGGCAGCAGUGGGGAAUAUUGGACAAUGGGCGAAAGCCUGAUCCAGCCAUGCCGCGUGUGUGAAGAAGGUCUUCGGAUUGUAAAGCACUUUAAGUUGGGAGGAAGGGCAGUAAGUUAAUACCUUGCUGUUUUGACGUUACCGACAGAAUAAGCACCGGCUAACUCUGUGCCAGCAGCCGCGGUAA